CCUACGGGAGGCAGCAGUGGGGAAUAUUGCACAAUGGGGGGAACCCUGAUGCAGCAACGCCGCGUGAGUGAAGAAGUAUUUCGGUAUGUAAAGCUCUAUCAGCAGGGAAGAAGAUGACGGUACCUGACUAAGAAGCCCCGGCUAACUACGUGCCAGCAGCCGCGGUAAUACGUAGGGGGCAAGCGUUAUCCGGAUUUACUGGGUGUAAAGGGAGCGUAGACGGCAGCGCAAGUCUGGAGUGAAAUGCCGGGGCCCAACCCCGGAACUGCUUUGGAAACUGUGCAGCGGGAGUGCAGGAGAGGUAAGCGGAAUUCCUAGUGUAGCGGUGAAAUGCGUAGAUAUUAGGAGGAACACCAGUGGCGAAGGCGGCUUACUGGACUGUAACUGACGUUGAGGCUCGAAAGCGUGGGGAGCAAACAGGAUUAGAUACCCUUGUAGUC
This 440-nucleotide ribosomal RNA is filed under the name uncultured bacterium. RNAcentral's name for it is "partial 16S ribosomal RNA". It matches the Rfam family "Bacterial small subunit ribosomal RNA", at positions 338 to 795 of the family's 1533-position model. The record is from RNAcentral.